AGUGAACGCUGGCGGUAGGCCUAACACAUGCAAGUCGAACGGCAGCACAGUAAGAGCUUGCUCUUACGGGUGGCGAGUGGCGGACGGGUGAGGAAUACAUCGGAAUCUACUUUUUCGUGGGGGAUAACGUAGGGAAACUUACGCUAAUACCGCAUACGACCUACGGGUGAAAGCAGGGGAUCUUCGGACCUUGCGCGGUUGAAUGAGCCGAUGUCGGAGUAGCUAGUUGGCGGGGUAAAGGCCCACCAAGGCGACGAUCCGUAGCUGGUCUGAGAGGAUGAUCAGCCACACUGGAACUGAGACACGGUCCAGACUCCUACGGGAGGCAGCAGUGGGGAAUAUUGGACAAUGGGCGCAAGCCUGAUCCAGCCAUACCGCGUGGGUGAAGAAGGCCUUCGGGUUGUGAAGCCCGUUUGUUGGGAAAGAAAAGCAGCAGGUUAAUACCCCGCUGUUCUGACGGUACCCAAAGAAUAAGCACCGGCUAACUUCGUG
Molecule: ribosomal RNA, 492 nt
Filed under: uncultured bacterium
Lineage: Bacteria
Description: partial 16S ribosomal RNA
Rfam family: Bacterial small subunit ribosomal RNA
Source: RNAcentral